GACGAACGCUGGCGGCGUGCUUAACACAUGCAAGUCGAGCGGUAAGGCCCUUUCGGGGGUACGACGAGCGGCGAACGGGUGAGUAACACGUGGGUGACCUGCCUCAGCUCUGGGAUAAGCCUGGGAAACCGGGGUCUAAUACUGGAUAUGACUCCAUGACGCAUGUUGUGGGGUGGAAAGCCUUGUGCGGCUGAGGAUGGGCCCGCGGCCUAUCAGC
Molecule: ribosomal RNA, 217 nt
Filed under: uncultured bacterium
Lineage: Bacteria
Description: partial 16S ribosomal RNA
Rfam family: Bacterial small subunit ribosomal RNA
Source: RNAcentral